Molecule: ribosomal RNA, 322 nt
Filed under: uncultured bacterium
Lineage: Bacteria
Description: bacterial SSU rRNA
Rfam family: Bacterial small subunit ribosomal RNA
Source: RNAcentral
GAUGAACGCUAGCGGCAGGCUUAACACAUGCAAGUUGAGGGGCAGCAUGAACAAUAGCAAUAUUGUUUGAUGGCGACCAGCGCACGGGUGCGUAACACGUAUGCAAUCUACCUUAUACUGGGGCAUAACUCCGAGAAAUCGGUGCUAAUUCCCCAUAACACUACAGAGUGGCAUCACUCCAUAGUUAAAGUUCCGGCGGUAUAAGANGAGCAUGCGUCCAAUUAGCUAGUUGGUGAGGUAACGGCUCACCAAGGCUACGAUUGGGUAGGGGUUCUGAGAGGAUGACUCCCCCACACUGGUACUGAGACACGGCCCAGACUCC